Molecule: ribosomal RNA, 484 nt
Filed under: uncultured bacterium
Lineage: Bacteria
Description: partial 16S ribosomal RNA
Rfam family: Bacterial small subunit ribosomal RNA
Source: RNAcentral
AUUGAACGCUGGCGGCAUGCUUUACACAUGCAAGUCGAACGGUAACAGGGUGCUUGCACCGCUGACGAGUGGCGAACGGGUGAGUAAUGCAUCGGAAUGUACCGUGUAAUGGGGGAUAGCUCGGUGAAAGCCGGAUUAAUACCGCAUACACCCUGAGGGGGAAAGUGGGGGACCGAAAGGCCUCACGUUAUACGAGCAGCCGAUGUCUGAUUAGCUAGUUGGUGAGGUAAAGGCUCACCAAGGCGUCGAUCAGUAGCGGGUCUGAGAGGAUGAUCCGCCACACUGGGACUGAGACACGGCCCAGACUCCUACGGGAGGCAGCAGUGGGGAAUUUUGGACAAUGGGCGCAAGCCUGAUCCAGCCAUGCCGCGUGUCUGAAGAAGGCCUUCGGGUUGUAAAGGACUUUUGUCCGGGAGCAAAUCCUAGUGGUUAAUAACCGCUGGGUCUGAGAGUACCGGAAGAAUAAGCACCGGCUAACUACGUG